CGCAAAGCUGAAUUUCUAGCUGUUCAAAGAUGUCUCAAGCGAAGGGAACAAUUUUUGCUGAUUUUAUCGCCAUCCUAGGAGCUAGGCAACCGCAGAGUUUGGUCCUUUCACAAUUGGUAGUCCCCUUCAGAUGGGCCGUAUGGUUUCUUUCCCUCUUUUUCUUUUGCUUGGGGCUCUUCUGAUCUUUCUUUGCGUUCCGAAACACCAGAUGAAUAAAUAAACGGCAGUUGCUGUCUAUGAACAGAU
This 246-nucleotide unclassified non-coding RNA is filed under the name Hevea brasiliensis (rubber tree). Lineage: Eukaryota; Viridiplantae; Streptophyta; Magnoliopsida; Malpighiales; Euphorbiaceae. The record is from RNAcentral.